UGAUUGUCACUCAUAAUGAACAACUUAUCACCCAAAUAAAGGAGGCUAAUUCUCAGCUUAAGACACUUUUAUAUAAAAAAGCACAACACAAGCUUUUAUUUCAGGGCCAAAAUCGUUUUUGCGAGUCUGGUAAAACGGGCAGGUUUUUGGCU
Long non-coding RNA from Bufo bufo (common toad), 152 nucleotides. RefSeq lists it as uncharacterized. The record is from RefSeq and is a predicted model, not a curated record. The transcript is spliced from 3 exons. NCBI's taxonomy places the organism in Eukaryota, Metazoa, Chordata, Amphibia, Anura, Bufonidae.